Molecule: ribosomal RNA, 481 nt
Filed under: uncultured bacterium
Lineage: Bacteria
Description: partial 16S ribosomal RNA
Rfam family: Bacterial small subunit ribosomal RNA
Source: RNAcentral
GAUGAACGCUGGCGGCGUGCUUAACACAUGCAAGUCGAACGAAGCACUUUAUUUGAUUUCCUUCGGGACUGAUUAUUUUGUGACUGAGUGGCUGACGGGUGAGUAACGCGUGGGUAACCUGCCUUGUACAGGGGGAUAACAGUUGGAAACGGCUGCUAAUACCGCAUAAGCGCCCAGCAUCGCAUGAUGCAGUGUGAAAAACUCCGGUGGUAUAAGAUGGACUCGCGUUGGAUUAGCUAGUUGGUGAGGUAACGGCCCACCAAGGCGACGAUCCAUAGCCGACCUGAGAGCGUGACCGGCCACAUUGGGACUGAGACACGUCCCAAACUCCUACGGGAAGCAGCAGUGGGGAAUAUUGCACAAUGGACGAAAGCCUGAUGCAGCGACGCCGCGUGAGCGAAGAAGUAUUUCGGUAUGUAAAGCUCUCUCAGCAGGCAAGAUCAUGACGGUACCUGACUAAGGAGCACCGGCUAAAUACGUG